GAAAGGAGAAGAGUCUAGCGCGACUCUUAUGCUCCAAAAUGUUCCAGAUAUGCAUCUUCAGAAUAUUUUAAUGUUAUCUUACAUUUUGAUGCAUCCAGAGAUAUAUCUCCGAAAAUAUGAGGCAUUUGUGGAAAUUUAUAUUGUGCGGUAGAAAUAUUUAGGGUGCCAUAAGAAACUCUCUUGUUUCUUUUUCUUCUUUUUUUUAAAUUGUACAAACCAAAGCCCAUAUUUAUAAUUAACAAAUAGUACAUAAAUUGAAAUCAUCUUCAUUCACAACCUCAUUCAUUUCUCAUUUUUUACCUUCAAUAUUUUCACUUUUCUUUUUCUUCUCUUAAUCAAAUUUCUCAUGCUUUUUU
This 356-nucleotide long non-coding RNA is filed under the name Lathyrus oleraceus (garden pea). RNAcentral's name for it is "Pisum sativum (pea) long non-coding RNA (PSAT_LNC014137)". Lineage: Eukaryota; Viridiplantae; Streptophyta; Magnoliopsida; Fabales; Fabaceae. The record is from RNAcentral.